CCUACGGGUGGCAGCAGUCGAGAAUCAUUCACAAUGGGGGAAACCCUGAUGGUGCGACGCCGCGUGGGGGAAUGAAGGUCUUCGGAUUGUAAACCCCUGUUAUGUGGGAGCAAAUUAAAAAGAUAGUACCACAAGAGGAAGAGACGGCUAACUCUGUGCCAGCAGCCGCGGUAAUACAGAGGUCUCAAGCGUUGUUCGGAAUCACUGGGCGUAAAGCGUGCGUAGGCUGUUUCGUAAGUCGUGUGUGAACGGCGCGGGGUCAACCCGCGGACGGCACAUGAUACUGCGAGACUAGAGUAAUGGAGGGGGAACCGGAAUUCGCGGUGUAGCAGUGAAAUGCGUAGAUAUCGAGAGGAACACUCGUGGCGAAGGCGGGUUCCUGGACAUUAACUGACGCUGAGGUACGAAGGCCAGGGGAGCGAAAGGGAUUAGAUACCCUAGUAGUC
This 446-nucleotide ribosomal RNA is filed under the name uncultured bacterium. Its description in RNAcentral is "partial 16S ribosomal RNA". It matches the Rfam family "Bacterial small subunit ribosomal RNA", at positions 338 to 795 of the family's 1533-position model. The record is from RNAcentral.